RNAcentral lists this ribosomal RNA (292 nucleotides) under uncultured bacterium. RNAcentral describes it as "partial 16S ribosomal RNA". It matches the Rfam family "Bacterial small subunit ribosomal RNA", at positions 505 to 796 of the family's 1533-position model. The record is from RNAcentral.
GUGCCAGCCGCCGCGGUAAUACGUAGGGGGCAAGCGUUGUCCGGAAUCAUUGGGCGUAAAGCGCGUGUAGGCGGCUCGAUAAGUCCGCUGUGAAAGUCCGGGGCUCAACCCCGGGAUGCCGGUGGAUACUGUCGGGCUAGAGUCCGGAAGAGGCGAGUGGAAUUCCUGGUGUAGCGGUGAAAUGCGCAGAUAUCAGGAGGAACACCAAUUGCGAAGGCAGCUCGCUGGGACGGUACUGACGCUGAGACGCGAAAGCGUGGGGAGCAAACAGGAUUAGAUACCCCCGUAGUCC